AGUGCAAGAAAGAGCCACAGCUGGCCACAUUCGUGUUCAAAACGGCUGUAGUGUUCAUCUGUAAGGAUUACUCCAAGCAGAAGAAGAAAAUGGGUGGUUCUCACAGAGCAUCAGUCUCAGGUGAAGAGAAAGAUCCGUUCCGUUUCCGUCACAUAAUCCCCACUGAUGCGCUUCAAGUGCGCACACUGUCCAAUACAGAUGGAGAGAGUGCAGCCGUGUGUGAGAUCAUCCAUGUGAAGUCUGAAUCAGAGGGAAG
Sinocyclocheilus rhinocerous is the source of this 256-nucleotide long non-coding RNA. RefSeq lists it as uncharacterized. The transcript has 4 exons. Lineage: Eukaryota; Metazoa; Chordata; Actinopteri; Cypriniformes; Cyprinidae. The record is from RefSeq and is a predicted model, not a curated record.